CAUGCGAAAUAGCUAGCCCACUGACCAAAUACAACAAACACCCAUCAAUAACCCCAAAUACACAACAACCCCACUAAACAAACCAUUUUUCCACCCUAGUAUAGGCGAUAGAAAAG
Molecule: ribosomal RNA, 116 nt
Filed under: Plectorhinchus gibbosus (Harry hotlips)
Lineage: Eukaryota; Metazoa; Chordata; Actinopteri; Lutjaniformes; Haemulidae
Description: partial 16S ribosomal RNA
Source: RNAcentral